RNAcentral lists this small RNA (1076 nucleotides) under Histoplasma ohiense. RNAcentral's name for it is "hypothetical lncRNA". The record is from RNAcentral. Lineage: Eukaryota; Fungi; Ascomycota; Eurotiomycetes; Onygenales; Ajellomycetaceae.
CCUCCAACAAGUGCUUCGAUGUCCUUUAUCAACUCGAGUGCGGGAAUGGCGUAUCCGUCUCCGGCGUAGCUUGUGAACGGACACGCGAAUAAAUGGUACGUUAUGGGCCCCGAUAACAUGCCACGCGGACACCGUGCGACCAUUGAAAUUCACCGUAGAGUCGACAUAGCUUAAUGUUCCCUGUGUCAAACCUGUCGUUCUGCCACGUUUAAAGACUAUUGAUCCUUUUUCACAAGGUCCGCACUCCUCGAUCUUUCCCGAGUCCGGGAAGAGCAGCGUUGGAUGAAUAUAAGGGGGAAGAGCUGCCAGUUCCUCAGACGUAGGUAACUAAAGUUCGAAUUAAUACGCUUUCUGCCUUCAUUAUCGAAAUCAUUUUGCAACUAGGGAACGUAUAUCAUACCUUGUUCAGAAACGACCGAGAACUUGGGAGAGAGACCAGGGCCCAAUCCAUUCCAAAAUCAUUGCUGGAACGAAAACCAGAGCCUGCCCACACUGUUCCUGUGGCUCUAGUGAGGUUGUUGAGGGCUUGAGCUUCGAGGUUAACGGCAUCCAUGCCGGCUUGGAGCUUUGAGAGGGCCCUCUCCUGUUUUUAAUUCAAAUAUUCCGUCCUUUGUCGCUACUGAAGUUUUUCAACAUCUCUCCUAACCAUAUCCAGAGCAUUUUUCUACGAUUUCCCGUUUGAAAUUUGCGUCAAAGUUUGACGGAGAACAAGGCCCACGUUGAGACUUGCCGCAUGGUCUGGAGUCAACCCUGUCUCUUUGGUUUCUGCACAUUUGUGGUUAGAAAUUGCCGAUGUUUACGGUUGACUGUCUUGAGAGAGAGUCAAACCUUGAAGGCUCUGAUGUGAUGCGACAACAUGAAAGUUUGUAACUCCUAGCUCGUGAAUCUCAAUUCCGCGCCGAACGAUCAGCUUCACGCCAAAAGACGCUGUCGCUCUCGGCUCUGAGCUGAGUCCAAUGCUUGCCCCGGGAGAAAGGUCUGAGGUCACCGCGAAGUCUUGGCCCUCGUCAGGAGAUCGAAAUCCACCGGUCGCAAAAAUAGUGUCCACUUGCACAAAACAUACCUCAAUUCUGUCC